This 253-nucleotide ribosomal RNA is filed under the name uncultured bacterium. RNAcentral describes it as "partial 16S ribosomal RNA". It matches the Rfam family "Bacterial small subunit ribosomal RNA", at positions 524 to 776 of the family's 1533-position model. The record is from RNAcentral.
UACGUUGGGUGCAAGCGUUGUCCGGAAUUAUUGGGCGUAAAGAGCUCGUAGGCGGUUUGUCGCGUCUGCUGUGAAAACCCGAGGCUCAACCUCGGGCCUGCAGUGGGUACGGGCAGACUAGAGUGCGGUAGGGGAGAUUGGAAUUCCUGGUGUAGCGGUGGAAUGCGCAGAUAUCAGGAGGAACACCAAUGGCGAAGGCAGAUCUCUGGGCCGUAACUGACGCUGAGGAGCGAAAGCAUGGGGAGCGAACAGG